UACGUAGGGGGCAAGCGUUGUCCGGAUUUAUUGGGCGUAAAGAGCGUGUAGGCGGCUAGGUAGGUCCGUUGUGAAAACUCGAGGCUCAACCUCGAGACGCCGAUGGAAACCAUCUGGCUAGAGUCCGGAAGAGGAGAGUGGAAUUCCUGGUGUAGCGGUGAAAUGCGCAGAUAUCAGGAAGAACACCCGUGGCGAAAGCGGCUCUCUGGAACGGUACUGACGCUGAGACGCGAAAGCGUGGGGAGCGAACAGG
This 253-nucleotide ribosomal RNA is filed under the name uncultured bacterium. Its description in RNAcentral is "partial 16S ribosomal RNA". It matches the Rfam family "Bacterial small subunit ribosomal RNA", at positions 524 to 776 of the family's 1533-position model. The record is from RNAcentral.